This 24-nucleotide non-coding RNA is filed under the name Mus musculus (house mouse). The record is from RNAcentral. Lineage: Eukaryota; Metazoa; Chordata; Mammalia; Rodentia; Muridae.
UAAAAGGCACGAUGGCAGCUCACA